CAGUCGCCGCGGUAAUACGUUGGGUGCGAGCGUUAAUCGGAAUUACUGAGCGUAAAGCGUGCGCAGGCGGUUAUAUAAGUCAGAUGUGAAAUCCCCGGGCUCAACCUUGGAACUGCAUUUGAGGCUGUAUGGCUAGAGUGUGUCAGAGGGGGGUAGAAUUCCACGUGUAGCAGUGAAAUGCGUAGAUAUGUGGAGGAAUACCGAUGGCGAAGGCAGCCCCCUGGGCCAAUACUGACGCUCAUGCACGAAAGCGUGGGAAGCAAACAGGAUUAGAUACCCCAGUAGUCCCUGUCUCUUAUAC
This 301-nucleotide ribosomal RNA is filed under the name uncultured bacterium. Its description in RNAcentral is "partial 16S ribosomal RNA". It matches the Rfam family "Bacterial small subunit ribosomal RNA", at positions 509 to 807 of the family's 1533-position model. The record is from RNAcentral.